Mercenaria mercenaria is the source of this 1072-nucleotide long non-coding RNA. RefSeq lists it as uncharacterized. The record is from RefSeq and is a predicted model, not a curated record. The transcript has 2 exons. NCBI's taxonomy places the organism in Eukaryota, Metazoa, Mollusca, Bivalvia, Venerida, Veneridae.
UCGUGCCGAAGAAAGUAAAUCAUGGCGCUGUGCCAGUUGAUAUACUUCUCCGUGCCUUAAUUGGAUGUGAAAGUAUAGAAGAGUGUGUCGCUGUUAUGAAGAACGAUCCUGUGGGCUGUUCGUAUGGAAUAAACAUCAACAUUGCAAGCAGAUAUAACAGUCGUGGAUGUGCAGCACAUUUCGUAUUCAAACAGCGCACGUAGAGUCUCGUACUAAGUACAUAUAAAUUGUUACAAGCAUGUUAAAGAUGCGGAGGAAUCACCAGGAUUAGAUGGUACAAAAGCUAGAGAAGCAACUGCAAGCCAAAUGUCUGUACCGACAUGUCUCCAAGAUGUCUGCAAUAUUUUGGGAGAUACGUCCAGUACGAUAGAGCCCAUCUACCGAACGCCCGGGAUAAGCUUUAAAAUUAUACAUAUUGCAACAAUUGCUUCUGCAGUGUUUGAUAUGAAUGAAUGCGUUCUUCGUGUUUAUCUUACGAAUCCGAAAACUGCGAAACGUCCUUGUUUAUCUUUGCCAUUUGUUCAAUAACUUUAUAUUUUAUUCCAAAUGCAGUUGUCUUUUCUCUUACUUUGUGAACAGUUACAAAAUACUGAAUACAGGCCCGGUUCCAGAAAUAUUUCAUCGGAGGGAUGAGGUGGGGGCAGUAGUUUAGAACGAAGCUCAAACUGCCAAGUGGGGGUAGAUAUAGGAUGGGAGGGGGGCUACGCUCGUAUAAGGUGGUCAGGGGGUCUUCCACCUUAAUUUUUCUUGAAACAUUGGUAUGAUUUGCAGCUUUUUGGUCUAAAUUUUGAGAUAUUGGUGGAGGUUCUCCCAUCAUUGUAGGGGAUCAGGAGGUCUGUACCUAGAAAAUUUUGAAAUAUUGGUAUGAAAUGGCGGCCUCUGGUGCAUUUUUGGAUCUAAAUGCUUAGAAAUAUUAUUUCUUACUUCGAUGAGUAUAGGUCACUUCUCAGCCAACUGGUUGUGUGUGUUGGGGUUAGGGGACGGGAGCAUGGACCCCCUGGACCUGGGCCUGAAAUAUUACAUACAUACAUGUACAUUGUACCAGCUUAGGAAUAAAUAUUUCAUAAACCUA